This 85-nucleotide transfer RNA is filed under the name Candidatus Margulisiibacteriota bacterium. RNAcentral's name for it is "Candidatus Margulisbacteria bacterium (hot springs metagenome) tRNA-Leu". It matches the Rfam family "tRNA". From Rfam's summary of the family: Transfer RNA (tRNA) molecules are approximately 80 nucleotides in length. Their secondary structure includes four short double-helical elements and three loops (D, anti-codon, and T loops). Further hydrogen bonds mediate the characteristic L-shaped molecular structure. tRNAs have two regions of fundamental functional importance: the anti-codon, which is responsible for specific mRNA codon recognition, and the 3' end, to which the tRNAs corresponding amino acid is attached (by aminoacyl-tRNA synthetases). tRNAs cope with the degeneracy of the genetic code in two manners: having more than one tRNA (with a specific anti-codon) for a particular amino acid; and 'wobble' base-pairing, i.e. permitting non-standard base-pairing at the 3rd anti-codon position. The record is from RNAcentral. Lineage: Bacteria; Bacillati; Candidatus Margulisiibacteriota.
GCCCGGAUGGCGGAAUUGGUAGACGCAAGGGACUUAAAAUCCCUCGGUCGAAUAGACUGUGCCGGUUCGAGUCCGGCUCCGGGCA